This 345-nucleotide ribosomal RNA is filed under the name uncultured bacterium. RNAcentral's name for it is "partial 16S ribosomal RNA". It matches the Rfam family "Bacterial small subunit ribosomal RNA", at positions 338 to 680 of the family's 1533-position model. The record is from RNAcentral.
CCUACGGGUGGCAGCAGUGAGGAAUAUUGGUCAAUGGGCGCGAGCCUGAACCAGCCAAGUAGCGUGAAGGAUGACUGCCCUACGGGUUGUAAACUUCUUUUAUAAAGGAAUAAAGGGAGGCACGUGUGGCUUGUUGUAUGGACGAUAUGAAUAAGGAUCGGCUAACUCCGUGCCAACAGCCGCGGUAAUACGGAGGAUCCGAGCGUUAUCCGGAUUUAUUGGGUUGAAAGGGAGCGUAGAGGGGUUGUUAAGUCGGUUGUGACAGUUUGCGGCUCAACCGUAAAAUUGCAAUUGAUACUGGCAUCCUUGAGUACAGUUGAGGUCGGCGCAAUUCGUGGUGUAGCG